This 194-nucleotide ribosomal RNA is filed under the name uncultured bacterium. RNAcentral describes it as "partial 16S ribosomal RNA". It matches the Rfam family "Bacterial small subunit ribosomal RNA", at positions 338 to 524 of the family's 1533-position model. The record is from RNAcentral.
CCUACGGGAGGCAGCAGUGAGGGAUAUUGCACAAUGGGCGCAAGCCUGAUGCAGCCAUGCCGCGUGUAUGAAGAAGGCCUUCGGGUUGUAAAGUACUUUCAGCGGGGAGGAAGGCGGUGAGGUUAAUAACCUUGCCGAUUGACGUUACCCGCAGAAGAAGCACCGACUAACUCCGUGCCAGCAGCCGCGGUAAU